This 72-nucleotide transfer RNA is filed under the name Camelus bactrianus (Bactrian camel). It matches the Rfam family "tRNA". Rfam says of the family: Transfer RNA (tRNA) molecules are approximately 80 nucleotides in length. The record is from Rfam by way of RNAcentral. RNAcentral also lists the same sequence under 2 other names. Lineage: Eukaryota; Metazoa; Chordata; Mammalia; Artiodactyla; Camelidae.
GAGGGUAUAGCUCAGUGGUAGAACUCCUGUGUAGCAUGCACAAGGUCCUGGGUUCAAUCCCCAGUACCUCCA